CUUCAUCCUCCACCAUAAGCACAGGAGGCACUGCGCUGUGCUGCAAUGCUCCAGGCCCCUGUACUCCACCUGGGGCAUGGGCUCCAUCCCUGCUCUCCGCAGCCGUUCCAGGGCAUCCGGAGGGAUUGGCUGUGCCCACGGGGGCAGGGGCCACACGGGGGCUGUGGUGAGAAGGGACCCCCCUUGCUGCAUCCCCCACUCCUUGAGACUUCUGGGCAGAGGCUCCCCACACUCCUCGCAGUGUUCCUCACUGCCACAACGUUUGGGCAGCCACACGUUUUUGCCCCACGUGUGCAGCGUCUUCCCACCGUUGGACAGCUCAAAGAGCAACCCAACCUUCAGCUUCACCUCCUCCUCCUGCACCACCACAUCCAGGGAGUAGAGCAAGGCAGUCAGCGUGGCCGUGGCGGCUGAGGAGCUGCUGUGGUGUGGGCAGUUGUUGUCCAGGCACUGACAGCACUGCAUGCAGAUGAGGUAUUCGCUCCUGUAGCCCCCGCGUGCCCUUUGAGCACCUCUGUCAUUGUUUUUUCCCAUUUUGGCCAGCAGGCCGAAGCAGAUUUGAGUGGUGUCCAAAGACUCCAUCAGGAAUCUGGAGAGGUCCUCCAUGCUGGAAGUGGAGGGUAGGUUCCCAUGGAGCUCUGAGCUGGCGGCUGGACUCGAAGUUCCUCCUUGUCUCCCCCAUGGCAAGCUUCUUCCAGAGGCUGAUUUUCUUUGCAGUCUGCUUCUGUGCUGUCGCUUUUGAUGUGACCUCAACCAGCUGAAUUUGGAACUCCUGGUGGGACGGCGGGUUCUGCUGUUGGGCAGGAAAGGAGCAGCACCAUCACUCAGGUCUUCCGUCAUAAUGCCCUGGCAGCGCUGGGAUGCUCUGGCCCUCAGGGGCUCUUGGGGACAUGGGGAGAGCCCAUCCCAGGCUGUGCCCAGGCAGCGUUUGGAUGACACCAGCUGGCUCCUACCUUGUCGUUGUUGUGAUGCCUCCUGGCCAUGAGGAUGGCCAGCACUGCUAUGCCCAGCAGAAUAAUGAUGCAGAACACCCUGUGGCCCCAGCGACCCCAGAUGCUGAGGGCUGGGAGGAUUGUCAUGAUUGCCAGAAUCCAUAGCUUCAUCUUCUGCUUGGAAGUCAUAUUAAGUGUGUGGCCACCAGCAUGACCACACAGCUCUUAACAACAGCCCUGUGAUGGUGGAAUGGACACGACCAGCCCGAAAGGUGUCUGGGCUCUGGGAUUUUGGAG
Long non-coding RNA from Gallus gallus (chicken), 1229 nucleotides. NCBI's taxonomy places the organism in Eukaryota, Metazoa, Chordata, Aves, Galliformes, Phasianidae. The record is from Ensembl.